RNAcentral lists this ribosomal RNA (200 nucleotides) under uncultured bacterium. RNAcentral's name for it is "partial 16S ribosomal RNA". It matches the Rfam family "Bacterial small subunit ribosomal RNA", at positions 30 to 225 of the family's 1533-position model. The record is from RNAcentral.
AUUGGACGCUGGCGGCAUGCCUAACACAUGCAAGUCGAACGGCAGCACAGAGGAGCUUGCUCCUUGGGUGGCGAGUGGCGGACGGGUGAGUAAUGUAUCGGGAUCUACCCUGACGUGGGGGAUAACCUCGGGAAACCGGGACUAAUACCGCAUACGUCCUACGGGAGGAAGCGGGGACCUUCGGGCCUCGCGCGGCAGGA